This 73-nucleotide transfer RNA is filed under the name Stegodyphus mimosarum. It matches the Rfam family "tRNA". Rfam says of the family: Transfer RNA (tRNA) molecules are approximately 80 nucleotides in length. The record is from Rfam by way of RNAcentral. Lineage: Eukaryota; Metazoa; Arthropoda; Arachnida; Araneae; Eresidae.
GCCUUCGUGGUGUAGUGGUCAGCACGCUCGACGAGUAACCGAGAGGUCCGUGGUUCGAUUCCCGGUGAAGAGA